Molecule: ribosomal RNA, 1137 nt
Filed under: Triticum aestivum (bread wheat)
Lineage: Eukaryota; Viridiplantae; Streptophyta; Magnoliopsida; Poales; Poaceae
Description: partial small subunit ribosomal RNA
Source: RNAcentral
AUGAGGAGGCGGUUCGUGAACCUGGUGACGCGGAACUGGACGGAAGGCGUCUACUCGGUGCGCCGGAUCGAUCCUUAUCGCCAUUUCUUCUACGGCUCAGCAGAAGCAGCGCUCGGAGCAGCGGCCGAGAAGACGGAGCCUUUUCCGGCGAUGCAGAUCAAGGACCUGCCGAGCCCAUGCAUGAACAUCGUCGCAGCGAGCCCCGGCGGCACCCUGGACAUGUUCGCGCUCCUCACCCCCGGCGACGGCAGAAUCGUCUACGCCAACACCAUCGGCCGGGCCGCUCUGUACGACGCCGACAGGCAUGUCCUCCACCCCGACCUCCACCGCCUCCGCACGCCCAAGGGGGUCAGGCCCGUCUGCCUCUCCAUCGCGCACCCCGGCGCCGACGACGACAGCAUGUAUGUCCUGGACGCGUGCCCCGAGGAGGGCGCCGAGCGAUGCUUCGAGGUCCUCGAGCCCGCGCCCGCCGUGUUCAGGAGCAGCAGCUUGAUGCCGCCAUGGUGCUCGCGCCUUCUCCCGCCGCCUCCCUUUGUCCGCCGCCCGGAAAGCUCCAGCAGCCUAGUCACCUCCUUUACCACCACCGUCGACGGCCACGGCUGCUCCACCAUCUACAUAUCAUGCGCUGGCGCCGGCGGCGUCGAUGUCGGCACCUACAGCUUCGAGACGGCGCGCCCCGACUCUCGUCACCAUCUAGGAUGGAUCCUCUCGGACAAAUGGAGUCACGUCGGGGAAUGGAUGCUGCCCUUUCAUGGCAGAGCUCUGUACGUCCCUGAGUUCAACCUGUGGUUUGGCUUCUCAGCAUUGGGCCCCUACCACCACCUGUGCGCUACGGAUCUCUCUGCCAUGGACGAUGGGCGGCAGCCCGCCGCGCCCGCAGUAUGGGAAGAUCUGAACCCGCCUGCCGAGGGAGAGCCGUGGCUUCCAAAGGAGCUCGAGCUUAUCCACCUGGGCGGCGGCAAGUUUCUCAUCGCCAAGACCUUUUCAGAAGGAGAAAGAGGUGAUGACUUUUGUGUGCUCACCGGCUUAGAGAUGAUGGCUACCGCCGGUGAUGACCGGCAGCAGACCCUUCAGAUGAUCAAGCACAAGUGCGCACGUAUUGUCUUCACGGACGAGGACAUCCAGUGAGUGCUCUGA